CCCUUAGAUGUUCUGGGCCGCACGCGCGCUACACUGAUGCAUUCAACGAGUCUAAAACCUGCUCUGAUAGGGGUGGGUAAUCUUUUGAAUGUGCAUCGUGAUUGGGAUAGAUGAUUGCAAUUUUUCAUCUUCAACGAGGAAUGCCUAGUAAACGCAAGUCAUCAGCUCGCAUUGAUUACGUCCCUGCCCUUUGUACACACCGCCCGUCGCUCCUACCGAUUGAAUGAUCCGAUGAAUAUCAUGGAUUGAGGAUGCAAGUAGGUUCGCCUAUCUUCAUCUUCGAGAAGUGAAGUAAAUCUUAUCAUUUAGAGGAAGGAGAAGUCGUAACA
This 329-nucleotide ribosomal RNA is filed under the name uncultured eukaryote. RNAcentral describes it as "partial 18S ribosomal RNA". It matches the Rfam family "Eukaryotic small subunit ribosomal RNA", at positions 1470 to 1796 of the family's 1831-position model. The record is from RNAcentral.